GCUCGAGUGGCGAACGGGUGAGUAACACGUGAGUAACCUGCCCUUGACUUUGGGAUAACUUCAGGAAACUGGGGCUAAUACCGGAUAGGAGCUCCUGCUGCAUGGUGGGGGUUGGAAAGUUUCGGCGGUUGGGGAUGGACUCGCGGCUUAUCAGCUUGUUGGUGGGGUAGUGGCUUACCAAGACUUUGACGGGUAGCCGGCCUGAGAGGGUGACCGGCCACAUUGGGACUGAGAUACGGCCCAG
This 244-nucleotide ribosomal RNA is filed under the name uncultured Actinomycetales bacterium. RNAcentral describes it as "partial 16S ribosomal RNA". It matches the Rfam family "Bacterial small subunit ribosomal RNA", at positions 89 to 334 of the family's 1533-position model. The record is from RNAcentral. Lineage: Bacteria; Bacillati; Actinomycetota; Actinomycetes; Actinomycetales.